UCCGUAGGCGGGAAGAUAAGUCAGUGGUGAAAGCCUGUGGCUCAACCAUAGAAUUGCCAUUGAUACUGUCUUUCUUGAGUGCACAUGAUGUGGGCGGAAUGUGUCGUGUAGCGAUGAAAUGCUUAGAUAUGACACAGAACACCGAUUGCGAAGGCAGCUCACAAAAGUGUAACUGACGCUGAGGGACGAAAGCGUGGGGAGCGAACAGGAUUAGAUACCCUGGUAGUCC
RNAcentral lists this ribosomal RNA (229 nucleotides) under uncultured bacterium. RNAcentral's name for it is "partial 16S ribosomal RNA". It matches the Rfam family "Bacterial small subunit ribosomal RNA", at positions 568 to 796 of the family's 1533-position model. The record is from RNAcentral.